Long non-coding RNA from Cervus elaphus (red deer), 1504 nucleotides. RefSeq lists it as uncharacterized. The transcript has 3 exons. Lineage: Eukaryota; Metazoa; Chordata; Mammalia; Artiodactyla; Cervidae. The record is from RefSeq and is a predicted model, not a curated record.
GGACAAAUCGAGAGCUUAUUGCAUUGCACGUAAUUUUUUUUUUUUCUUUCUGGCACAUGGCUUGACAAUUAUACUCUGUGGGUCCUCAAGGACUCUUGCAGUUCCAAGAGCCUGUGAAACAGUCUCAGGCUUUAUGGCACCUUUGAAGAAACAAAAGCUUUACAGAGAAAAGGCUGGUUUGGCAGGGGAGGCGCGUGGCUCCCUUCAGCUCACUUUACUGUCUUCCUGGCGCCUUUCUUUUUAGACAAACAAAGCACUUAAAGGGGCUUUGUUGGAUCCAUGACACGGCGGUGCAAAUCUUCAACUGUUUCCUUUUGGAGGAUCAAAUUUACAGUUUUGUCCUGGCUGUUUCUGUAUGGUGAGACACUCAAAAUCCACAAGCAGACUGAGCCAACUGGGCAGAAAGUUUGGAAUUCUGAAAUGCUGCCGAAUUGUCAGGGACCAGCCUAGCUAAUUUGCUGAUUUACUGAACUUGACCCAAAUGAUUUUCUGUGUACACAAAAUUUAUGAAGAUAUCUUUGAAUAAUUGUAUUAAAUGAGAUUCUGGGCCUUUAUUUUCCAUUUUAUUACCUUUUCUGAACACUGUGGAAUCCGAUCAUAUUGAAACAUUUUGUGUUCAGGCUUUGUAGGAAGUGCUGAUGGUUGAACCUCAAAAGAAUUGAAGGGUUAGUUCAUAAAUGAGUAAAAAGCCAGCGGCAUUUAUCCAAAGUUUGUUUAACUAUCCUAACCUCAUGGGCCUGUAAAAAUUCAACUGAAAAUCAUUGAGAAGAGGUCCUCCCAUGAGAUCCCUUGGCACUUUCUGCUUCUGCUUGGAUCGGAAAUACCAUGAGAGUAUUCUUUUUCUGUCCUUUUUUUUAAUUUCCAACAUUUCAACACUUCUAGUUCCAUUUGCAGAUGGAGAAGAGCAGAGGGAAAAAAGGAAUGGGAGGAAAACAUGAACUUUUCUUAACCUAGAAGUUAUUGCACAGCUUUUAUAUGAAAUUUCAAGCCAGAACAUCCCUGGUUGAGGCCAACUGCCUCUGCCUAGGAAACCUCCCAAGCAUGGGAGACUCACCCACCAAGGUUCUGGUCCAAGAUGGCCAUUUAGCAUCAACUCGAGGACAUCUACAAUGGAACUCAGGCUCCGGUCUCAGCACCCAUUAGCCUAACCUCCCAGGGUGUAACAGAAGCAGAAAUUACAUCUAUUACCUACUUAGACCAGUGCUCUGUAGGUCAUGGAAGAGCAUAUUUCAUGUUAGUCCUUUAGAAGGAGCAAUUGUGUGGGUAGAUUGCAAGAACAGCUGCAGUCCUCAUACGCGCAGAGACAGAAAGCAGAUUAGUAUUGCCUAGGACGGUGUUGGGGGAAUUCAGAGGAAAAUGGGGAGUGAUUUCAGAUGGAUGUGGGAUCUCUUUUUGAAGUUAAAAAAAUAUUCUAAAUUCGAUUGUGGUGGUGAUUACACAACUUUCUAAAUGUAGCAAAAACUGUUGAAUUGUACCCUUAAAAAUGCAUGAAUUGUAUGGUAUA